AGAGAAACGAAAAACACCCAAAAUUUCUCAUCCACUUCGUACGACACCAUCGGAGACUCGCCUUCCCGAUGACGUCGUAACCACCCGGCGUGAGCCCACCAUUUACAGAUGUGUGCCAACAUUUUUCCCAACAAUAAAGCCAAUUUACCAUUCAAAGGUAGCAAGUGCGGUUGAGUGUCGAGACCACACUGUAGAAAUUUGGGUUGAGCUCAGGCGUGAACCACAACAUUUUACAGAUGAACCCAACAUUUUUUGGAAAUUACCAUUUCACCAACCCAGCAGUUUCCCAAAGUUGGAGAAAAUUGUCGCCGUGGCCGCCUUGUAUGAACUCCUAAGGGCGGACCUCGAACCCCCUCGCUACAGUUGAAGGUGGGAAUUUAUUUAUUUAUUUAUUUAUUUUUUUGAUGUAUGAUCUAACUAUUUUCUUUCAUAAAUUUCAAAAAAUCAAUGCCUGCAUUUCUUAUAUUUAUGAAGUUGAGUGGUUAAUUUUAUGACAUAUGUGAAGUUCAUUGAAGACUAGAUAAAUUUGAUUCAAUGUAAAAUUGUGGAGAGGUAAUGGUUUUCUGAACGAGACAACCAUUAUUGAAGCAGUGGAAGAUGAUUCAAGAGUGGAAGACUAGAUAUGCUUACGAUGUUGGUUUCCCAGUCAAGAAAAGGAAUUAGAAAAAAGAUACAUUGAUAUGUAAUCUUGAAGGAUGAUGCAGCACGACAAAGCGGUUCUUUGAAGCCACAUCCAACAAUUCGGAUGGAUUGUAAAGCCUAGAUCUCAGCGUCUUUUGAUUAUCUAUAUUUAGUUGUUGCACUUACAGCAUGUAUGUUAAUGGAAUUCUGUUCACACCAUGCUAAUGGAAUUUUAUUGGCAUACCUUGUUGGUGAAAUUGAUUAAUG
Molecule: long non-coding RNA, 888 nt
Filed under: Olea europaea (common olive)
Lineage: Eukaryota; Viridiplantae; Streptophyta; Magnoliopsida; Lamiales; Oleaceae
Description: long non-coding RNA (OEUR_LNC004012)
Source: RNAcentral